UAGGGAAUCUUCCGCAAUGGGCGAAAGCUUGACGGAGCAACGCCGCGUGAGUGAUGAAGGUCUUCGGAUCGUAAAACUCUGUUAUUAGGGAAGAACAAAUGUGUAAGUAACUAUGCACGUCUUGACGGUACCUAAUCAGAAAGCCACGGCUAACUACGUGCCAGCAGCCGCGGUAAUACGUAGGUGGCAAGCGUUAUCCGGAAUUAUUGGGCGUAAAGCGCGCGUAGGCGGUUUUUUAAGUCUGAUGUGAAAGCCCACGGCUCAACCGUGGAGGGUCAUUGGGAACUGGAAAACUUGAGUGCAGAAGAGGGAGGUGGAAUUCCAUGUGUAGCGGUGAAAUGCGCAGAGAUAUGGAGGAACACCAGUGGCGAAGGCGACUUUCUGGUCUGUAACUGACGCUGAUGUGCGAAAGCGUGGGGAUCAAACAGG
Molecule: ribosomal RNA, 429 nt
Filed under: Actinomycetes bacterium
Lineage: Bacteria; Bacillati; Actinomycetota; Actinomycetes
Description: Actinobacteria bacterium partial 16S ribosomal RNA
Rfam family: Bacterial small subunit ribosomal RNA
Source: RNAcentral